ACAGGUGAGUCCUCAGCCGGUCUCAAAGCCUUUUGGAUUUCCUGGAAAUAGUGCUGUUGUACCGACAGUGAGCUCUACAGCCACCCUGACCACUACGACAGUGACAACUACAGUGACAGCAACCUCGGUGGUCUAUACUUCUACUUCACAGCCUGUCCCUCUGCCGAUAAAUCCAGACUAUAACGACUCAUGACUCAUGAGUCACUGCCAGGACCUAUCUGCAAGCCACACUGACGCUAGCCAACUCCCCCACAUUCCCAUGUGUCUGGAAGCCAGUCUAGGCGGAGACAGCAACAACUUGCCAGGGAAGAAGUGGAAAAGUGACAUGCAGAAAAGCCCGAUGUCCUGGCCCGUCUGAAAACCAACGCCGGACGUCCAGCAACAGGAGUCUGUCGUCACAAUGUCCUCAGUCUACAAGUCAUCAGAUUCUAAGUUUUCAUUUCUUGUUUACUUUCUCUAAGGGUUUUUUUUUGCUUUUCUUUAAAAAAAAAGAAGGGAUUAAAAUUAAAAAGGGAAACAGAAAGAGGGUUGAGAAGCUUUACUUGUUGUUUAAGGGAAUUUUGUAGUAUCUCUCAUCUGGUCGUUUU
Sitophilus oryzae (rice weevil) is the source of this 587-nucleotide long non-coding RNA. RefSeq lists it as uncharacterized. Lineage: Eukaryota; Metazoa; Arthropoda; Insecta; Coleoptera; Curculionidae. The transcript has 2 exons. The record is from RefSeq and is a predicted model, not a curated record.